This 269-nucleotide ribosomal RNA is filed under the name uncultured Planctomycetales bacterium. RNAcentral's name for it is "partial 16S ribosomal RNA". It matches the Rfam family "Bacterial small subunit ribosomal RNA", at positions 565 to 832 of the family's 1533-position model. The record is from RNAcentral. Lineage: Bacteria; Pseudomonadati; Planctomycetota; Planctomycetia; Planctomycetales.
GAGCACGUAGGUGGGUUUGUAAGUCAGAUGUGAAAGCCUUCUGUUCAACGGAAGAAUUGCAUCUGAAACUGCGAGUCUUGAGUGUAGGAGGGGAGAAUGGAACUUCUGGUGGAGCGGUGAAAUGCGUAGAUAUCAGAAGGAACGCCGGCGGCGAAAGCGAUUCUCUGGCCUAUUACUGACACUCCGUGUGCGAAAGCUAGGGGAGCAAACGGGAUUAGAUACCCCGGUAGUCCUAGCCGUAAACGAUGGGCACUAAGUAGAGGGGUUUU